Molecule: ribosomal RNA, 425 nt
Filed under: uncultured bacterium
Lineage: Bacteria
Description: partial 16S ribosomal RNA
Rfam family: Bacterial small subunit ribosomal RNA
Source: RNAcentral
GUGGGGAAUCUUGCGCAAUGGGCGAAAGCCUGACGCAGCCAUGCCGCGUGAAUGAUGAAGGUCUUAGGAUUGUAAAAUUCUUUCACCGGGGACGAUAAUGACGGUACCCGGAGAAGAAGCUCCGGCUAACUUCGUGCCAGCAGCCGCGGUAAUACGAAGGGGGCUAGCGUUGCUCGGAAUUACUGGGCGUAAAGGGCGCGUAGGCGGACAGCUUAGUCAGAGGUGAAAGCCCAGGGCUCAACCUUGGAAUUGCCUUUGAUACUGGCUGUCUUGAGUAUGGGAGAGGUGAGUGGAACUCCGAGUGUAGAGGUGAAAUUCGUAGAUAUUCGGAAGAACACCAGUGGCGAAGGCGACUCACUGGCCCAAUACUGACGCUGAGGCGCGAAAGCGUGGGGAGCAAACAGGAUUAGAAACCCUUGUAGUCC